RNAcentral lists this ribosomal RNA (1182 nucleotides) under Cladosporium phaenocomae. Its description in RNAcentral is "eukaryotic LSU rRNA". The stretch from base 243 to 1182 matches the Rfam family "Eukaryotic large subunit ribosomal RNA", at positions 1 to 967 of the family's 3401-position model. Lineage: Eukaryota; Fungi; Ascomycota; Dothideomycetes; Cladosporiales; Cladosporiaceae. The record is from RNAcentral.
AUUCCAAUUCGGAAUUUCUUUGAAUCGGCAUCAUAGUCGUCUCUAGGUAAUCCGGAGGGAGCCAUGCUGUCCGAGCCGUCAUUUCAACAACUCAAGCCUCGCUUGGGUAUUGGGCAAACGCGGUCCCGCCGCGUGCCUCAAAUCGACCGGGCUGGGGUCUUUCUGUCCCUAAGCGUUGUGGAAACUAUUUCGCUAAAGGGUGUUCGGGAGGCUACGCCGUAAAACAACCCCAUUUCUAAGGUUGACCUCGGAUCAGGUAGGGAUACCCGCUGAACUUAAGCAUAUCAAUAAGCGGAGGAAAAGAAACCAACAGGGAUUGCUCUAGUAACGGCGAGUGAAGCAGCAAUAGCUCAAAUUUGAAAUCUGGCGUCUUCGACGUCCGAGUUGUAAUUUGUAGAGGAUGCUUCUGAGUAACCACCGACCUAAGUUCCUUGGAACAGGACGUCAUAGAGGGUGAGAAUCCCGUAUGCGGUCGGAAAGGUGCUCUAUACGUAGCUCCUUCGACGAGUCGAGUUGUUUGGGAAUGCAGCUCUAAAUGGGAGGUAAAUUUCUUCUAAAGCUAAAUAUUGGCCAGAGACCGAUAGCGCACAAGUAGAGUGAUCGAAAGAUGAAAAGCACUUUGGAAAGAGAGUUAAAAAGCACGUGAAAUUGUUAAAAGGGAAGGGAUUGCAACCAGACUUGCUCGCGGUGUUCCGCCGGUCUUCUGACCGGUCUACUCGCCGCGUUGCAGGCCAGCAUCGUCUGGUGCCGCUGGAUAAGACUGGAGGAAUGUAGCUCCCUCGGGAGUGUUAUAGCCUCUUGUGAUGCAGCGAGCGCCGGGCGAGGUCCGCGCUUCGGCUAGGAUGCUGGCGUAAUGGUCGUAAUCCGCCCGUCUUGAAACACGGACCAAGGAGUCUAACAUCUAUGCGAGUGUUCGGGUGUCAAACCCCUACGCGUAAUGAAAGUGAACGGAGGUGAGAACCGCAAGGUGCAUCAUCGACCGAUCCUGAUGUCUUCGGAUGGAUUUGAGUAAGAGCAUAGCUGUUGGGACCCGAAAGAUGGUGAACUAUGCCUGAAUAGGGUGAAGCCAGAGGAAACUCUGGUGGAGGCUCGCAGCGGUUCUGACGUGCAAAUCGAUCGUCAAAUUUGGGUAUAGGGGCGAAAGACUAAUCGAACCAUCUAGUAGCUGGUUCCUGCCGAAGU